CCCUUAGAUGUUCUGGGCCGCACGCGUGCUACACUGAGUGGAUCAGCGGGUCAGGUUGCGCGAAAGCGUUUCCUAAUCUUUAAAUCCGCUCGUGAUGGGGAUUGACGGUUGCAAUUUUCUGUCAUGAACGAGGAAUACCUUGUAAGCGCGGGUCAUCAUCCCGCGCUGAAUACGUCCCUGCCCUUUGUACACACCGCCCGUCGCUCCUACCGAUUGAGUGGUCUGGUGAGGCUUUGGGAUCUGAGCGGAAAGAGCGUUUCGCUGUUUCUGCUCGGAAAACUCAGUCGAACCUUAUCAUUUAGAGGAAGGAGAAGUCGUAACA
Molecule: ribosomal RNA, 322 nt
Filed under: uncultured eukaryote
Lineage: Eukaryota
Description: partial 18S ribosomal RNA
Rfam family: Eukaryotic small subunit ribosomal RNA
Source: RNAcentral